Molecule: non-coding RNA, 141 nt
Organism: Podarcis lilfordi (Lilford's wall lizard)
Lineage: Eukaryota; Metazoa; Chordata; Lepidosauria; Squamata; Lacertidae
Source: the annotation of a GenBank genome assembly
GCUGAGUGGGGAGGAGAGAGGGACAGAGAGCCUGCUUCUUUAAAGGAGCAAAGCUCCUUCUUUAAAGGAGUAAGUGGCUCCUGUCCGGUUGGUUCCUUUAAAGCAAGUAGGCUCUCUGUCCCUCUUUCCUCCCCACUCAGC